This 993-nucleotide long non-coding RNA is filed under the name Sorghum bicolor (sorghum). Its description in RNAcentral is "long non-coding RNA (SBIC_LNC013414)". Lineage: Eukaryota; Viridiplantae; Streptophyta; Magnoliopsida; Poales; Poaceae. The record is from RNAcentral.
GCGGCACAUACAUAGAGCAUUAAAUAUAAAUGAAAAUAAAAACUAAAUGCAUAAUUUAUUUGUAAAUCGUGAGAUAAAUCUUUUAAACAUAUUUACUCUAUAAUUAAAUAAUAUUUAUUAAAUAAAAAUAAACGUGCUACAGAAUUAAAAUUCAAAAACUUUUAGACGUGAACAAGGCCUAAAUAUCAACAAUUAACAUCAGCUUUAAAUGGUUUGCUGCUGCGGGGCGGGCCUUUAGCCGUUGUCUGGUCUCCUUCAGUCCUGCCACGAUCUUAUCCACAUCCCGUAACUACAGUGAAUGGCAAUGCAUGCUCCCUUUUUUUUUUUUUGAGACUGCUCCUAUUUUUCUGUCUCUUUUCCUUUCCUUUUUUUGUGAUUACUGUUACCGUCAUGCUCUGGACCAUUUUGACCAGCUCAUAUGAUUCUUUUUUGUGAUUACUUGGUCCUUCAUAGAAAAUACUAUACUAUAUAUUGAUAUUAUAUCUUAAAUAUGUUACAUUAUUAUAAAAGUACCCCUCUAACACAUUCUCUCCACUCAAUGACAUGUGGGCCCAUGAAUUAAUCCGCAUACUCUCAACAUCUGCUGACCUUCUCUGCCAUGGGCGCGGUACCAACUGGCACAGUUUUUCCAAGCAUCGAAGGCGAUGACCUCGCCGAAGGCGGUGUCCGUGACAACAACAGAAGCGACCCCCUCAAACAUCACCGGACAUGGGGCACAUGACCUCGGGGAAAAGCACGGACGUGGUAGAUAUGUGUCCACGGCUUGGCGCGCAGAUGCUCUGCGAACUCUCCACCGACACCCACACGAACUCCCCUCCGCUGCUGGCCACGCCCCCCAGCAUGCCGCCCUACUAAACCAGCCCUACCUAGCCCGAUGUACGGACUCUCUCUCGCCGCAGGCCAUGCACCCAGCACAUCCCGUGCACCCCCGCGCCCCCACAUCUGCCCUAGCCGCCGCACACAUGCGCCCUAGCCCGCCAUGCGGACUCCCCC